Molecule: ribosomal RNA, 500 nt
Filed under: uncultured bacterium
Lineage: Bacteria
Description: bacterial SSU rRNA
Rfam family: Bacterial small subunit ribosomal RNA
Source: RNAcentral
GAUGAACGCUAGCGAUAGGCCUAACACAUGCAAGUCGAGGGGCAUCACAUGAAGUAGCAAUACGGAUGGUGGCGACCGGCGCACGGGUGAGUAACACGUAUGCAACCUGCCUUCAACAAGGGGAUAACCCGUUGAAAGACGGACUAAUACCCUAUAACACAGGGGUCCCGCAUGGGAAUAUUUGUUAAAGGACAACCGGUUGAAGAUGGGCAUGCGUUCCAUUAGCUAGUUGGCGGGGUAACGGCCCACCAAGGCAACGAUGGAUAGGGGAACUGAGAGGUUUAUCCCCCACACUGGUACUGAGACACGGACCAGACUCCUACGGGAGGCAGCAGUGAGGAAUAUUGGUCAAUGGACGCAAGUCUGAACCAGCCACGUCGCGUGAAGGAAGAAGGCCUCGGUUGUAAGCUCUUUCGACGGAAGAAAUCGCCGCCUCUAACCAUAGGCGGUGGAUGACGGUACCGUAAGAAGAAGCACCGGCAACUACGUGCCAGCAGCCG